CGGGAUGUGGAUGUAUUUUUCCUUUCUUGUAGGAUGAGGGUCCUCCAUUACGAACACAGUAGCUGUUGAGGACAUUUCACCUUUUUUUCAGUGUCUGCACUGUAUGGGAACAAGUGCCGGUUUUAAGUCUCAGAACUACACUACAGAGCAUUCAUGAGUUUUCUUGACAUCUCUUUGUGCAAAAGCAACAGCAGAACAUCUUCUCAGAUACACCUGGAAAACUCUAAAGAGGAGGGUCAAAAUCUAUUUAAUUCAACGUGUAUUUUUAAGGACCAAGCAUCUGAGCACAGCAAGCGGUACCUUAGCGCCAAGUCUAGGACCAAAAGGCUCCUUAACAGCUUCUACCCCUAAGCCGUAAGACUGCUGAACAGCUAAUCAAAUAGCUACCUGGACUAUCUGCAUUGAUCCUCCCUUUUAUAUCCUACUGCUACUCUCUGUUUAUUAUCUAUGUAUAGUCACUUUACCUCCACCUACAUGUUACCUCAGUUACCACAACCUGUACCCCCCACACAUUGACUCUGUACCAGUACCCCCUGUAUAUAGCCUUGUUAUUAUUAUUUUGUUUUACUUUUAUUUAGUAAAUAUUAACUCUUAUUCUUCUAAAGUGCAUUGUUGUUUAAGGGCUUGAAAGUAAGCAUUCUAAGGUAAGGUCUACAUCUGUUGUAUUUGGUACAUGUGACAAAUAAGUUUGAUUUGAUUUAGUUUUACCCAAUCAUCUGGCUCAUUAUUUGGUGGUUGUAGAGUAAUUAGUCUCAAGCGUCCCAAGUGUUUAAUGUCACUCUCUCUCUCUCCUGCGAGAC
Oncorhynchus keta (chum salmon) is the source of this 800-nucleotide long non-coding RNA. RefSeq lists it as uncharacterized. The record is from RefSeq and is a predicted model, not a curated record. Lineage: Eukaryota; Metazoa; Chordata; Actinopteri; Salmoniformes; Salmonidae. The transcript is spliced from 3 exons.